This 1635-nucleotide ribosomal RNA is filed under the name Staphylococcus aureus M0159. RNAcentral's name for it is "bacterial LSU rRNA". It matches the Rfam family "Bacterial large subunit ribosomal RNA", at positions 623 to 2259 of the family's 2925-position model. The record is from RNAcentral. Lineage: Bacteria; Bacillati; Bacillota; Bacilli; Caryophanales; Staphylococcaceae.
GCGAGUUACGAUUUGAUGCAAGGUUAAGCAGUAAAUGUGGAGCCGUAGCGAAAGCGAGUCUGAAUAGGGCGUUUAGUAUUUGGUCGUAGACCCGAAACCAGGUGAUCUACCCUUGGUCAGGUUGAAGUUCAGGUAACACUGAAUGGAGGACCGAACCGACUUACGUUGAAAAGUGAGCGGAUGAACUGAGGGUAGCGGAGAAAUUCCAAUCGAACCUGGAGAUAGCUGGUUCUCUCCGAAAUAGCUUUAGGGCUAGCCUCAAGUGAUGAUUAUUGGAGGUAGAGCACUGUUUGGACGAGGGGCCCCUCUCGGGUUACCGAAUUCAGACAAACUCCGAAUGCCAAUUAAUUUAACUUGGGAGUCAGAACAUGGGUGAUAAGGUCCGUGUUCGAAAGGGAAACAGCCCAGACCACCAGCUAAGGUCCCAAAAUAUAUGUUAAGUGGAAAAGGAUGUGGCGUUGCCCAGACAACUAGGAUGUUGGCUUAGAAGCAGCCAUCAUUUAAAGAGUGCGUAAUAGCUCACUAGUCGAGUGACACUGCGCCGAAAAUGUACCGGGGCUAAACAUAUUACCGAAGCUGUGGAUUGUCCUUUGGACAAUGGUAGGAGAGCGUUCUAAGGGCGUUGAAGCAUGAUCGUAAGGACAUGUGGAGCGCUUAGAAGUGAGAAUGCCGGUGUGAGUAGCGAAAGACGGGUGAGAAUCCCGUCCACCGAUUGACUAAGGUUUCCAGAGGAAGGCUCGUCCGCUCUGGGUUAGUCGGGUCCUAAGCUGAGGCCGACAGGCGUAGGCGAUGGAUAACAGGUUGAUAUUCCUGUACCACCUAUAAUCGUUUUAAUCGAUGGGGGGACGCAGUAGGAUAGGCGAAGCGUGCGAUUGGAUUGCACGUCUAAGCAGUAAGGCUGAGUAUUAGGCAAAUCCGGUACUCGUUAAGGCUGAGCUGUGAUGGGGAGAAGACAUUGAGUCUUCGAGUCGUUGAUUUCACACUGCCGAGAAAAGCCUCUAGAUAGAAAAUAGGUGCCCGUACCGCAAACCGACACAGGUAGUCAAGAUGAGAAUUCUAAGGUGAGCGAGCGAACUCUCGUUAAGGAACUCGGCAAAAUGACCCCGUAACUUCGGGAGAAGGGGUGCUCUUUAGGGUUAACGCCCAGAAGAGCCGCAGUGAAUAGGCCCAAGCGACUGUUUAUCAAAAACACAGGUCUCUGCUAAACCGUAAGGUGAUGUAUAGGGGCUGACGCCUGCCCGGUGCUGGAAGGUUAAGAGGAGUGGUUAGCUUCUGCGAAGCUACGAAUCGAAGCCCCAGUAAACGGCGGCCGUAACUAUAACGGUCCUAAGGUAGCGAAAUUCCUUGUCGGGUAAGUUCCGACCCGCACGAAAGGCGUAACGAUUUGGGCACUGUCUCAACGAGAGACUCGGUGAAAUCAUAGUACCUGUGAAGAUGCAGGUUACCCGCGACAGGACGGAAAGACCCCGUGGAGCUUUACUGUAGCCUGAUAUUGAAAUUCGGCACAGCUUGUACAGGAUAGGUAGGAGCCUUUGAAACGUGAGCGCUAGCUUACGUGGAGGCGCUGGUGGGAUACUACCCUAGCUGUGUUGGCUUUCUAACCCGCACCACUUAUCGUGGUGGGAGACAGUGUCA